Non-coding RNA from Cinara cedri, 393 nucleotides. The record is from the annotation of a GenBank genome assembly. Lineage: Eukaryota; Metazoa; Arthropoda; Insecta; Hemiptera; Aphididae.
CGUAUUAUACAGUACUCGCACAUUGCACGCGCACAAAUGCUGUGCGGGCAUAGGAACUACGCUUCCGAGCCGUUAUUAUUGGUCUUUAUCAUUAUUUGUCGUUAUCAUUUCCGAACAACCGCCGUCCGCGGCUCUGUUCGACCGACGGCGUUCCGUGUCACAAUCAAUAAAGCCUCCGCGUAAUUUCUUCACUACGCCUUCUCGACUCGUCCUCGGCUUUUGCAAAGGUCGUUUUCCCAUUAUUGGUUUGGUUACGGCGUGCUUUCCCGUGCGCGUACAGCCAAUACACGUUUUUCCCUCGUCUCCACUAUACGGUUAUGGUAUCCUUUAUUUUUGCUGGUACAAAGUUUGUCCGCAUUUUUUGCGUGUAGGCAUUAAUAAUUUAUUUAAACG